Molecule: ribosomal RNA, 304 nt
Filed under: uncultured bacterium
Lineage: Bacteria
Description: partial 16S ribosomal RNA
Rfam family: Bacterial small subunit ribosomal RNA
Source: RNAcentral
CAGCAGUCGCCGCGGGAAUACAGAGGGUGCGAGCGUUAAUCGGAUUUACUGGGCGUAAAGCGUGCGUAGGCGGCUUUUUAAGUCGGAUGUGAAAUCCCUGAGCUUAACUUAGGAAUUGCAUUCGAUACUGGGAAGCUAGAGUAUGGGAGAGGAUGGUAGAAUUCCAGGUGUAGCGGUGAAAUGCGUAGAGAUCUGGAGGAAUACCGAUGGCGAAGGCAGCCAUCUGGCCUAAUACUGACGCUGAGGUACGAAAGCAUGGGGAGCAAACAGGAUUAGAUACCCCAGUAGUCCCUGUCUCUUAUAC